RNAcentral lists this ribosomal RNA (1665 nucleotides) under Triticum aestivum (bread wheat). RNAcentral's name for it is "partial small subunit ribosomal RNA". Lineage: Eukaryota; Viridiplantae; Streptophyta; Magnoliopsida; Poales; Poaceae. The record is from RNAcentral.
AUGGAGAUAGAUCUGAACCGGGACGCCCGCGACGGCGACGCGGAGAGGGUCGCCGCCCCGCAGAGUAACCGCGCCGUCGGAGUGGAGGUCGUCGCCCAGGAGGGCAACGGCGAUGGUGGCAUGGUGGCCGCUGCGGAGGGCGUCGGCGCUGCCCCGGAGACGGUCGGCGUCGGCGCCGAGGAGGGCGUCGCCCCGGAGAAGAACGGCGUCGGCUCCGGUGGCGAGAAGGAGGUCGCCUCGGAGGGGAGCGGCGCCGGCGCCGAGGUGGGCGCUGCCGUCGAGACGAACGGCGUCGCAGUUGACGUCUGGAUCUGCCACCAGUGCCGUCAGAGAAAAACAGGGCUCACGGCAGCUUGCAGAGGGUCCAAGAAGAAUGGCAAGUGCACUCUCAGAUAUUGCAAGAAUUGCAUACGUAACAGGUACCCUUUGAUUGCGGAUGAGGUGUUGAAGGAGGAAGCCUGGGAAUGCCCCAAGUGCAGGAAUGACUGCAACUGCAGCAAGUGCAAAAAGAGGAGAGGGGAGGAGCCAGCAGGACCAAUGGUCCAUUCUGUCAAGAGACCGAAGGGCGACCUGCGGAGAAUUGAGAGCACCGAUGCUCUCAAGGAUGAAAUAGUCAUACCCAGAGGUACUCUUGUCAAGAGACCGAAGGGCAACCUGCGGAGAAUUGAGAGCACCGAUGCUCUCAAGGAUGAAAUAGUCAUACCCAGAGGUACUCUUGUCAAGAGACCGAAGGGCAACCUGCGGAGAAUUGAGAGCACCGAUGCUCUCAAGGAUGAAAUAGUCAUACCCAGAGGUACUCUUGUGACUUGCGUUGCUGGUGUAGAGAUGCAGCCUGAAGAUGUUGGUGCCGCCAUUCAAUUUUUGGAGUUUUGUCGCUCAUUUGGCGAGAUCUUCCAAAUAAGGAAGGGCCAAUCAGAAAAAAUUGUCAAAGACAUAACUGGAGAUCGUCAACUCCGAGAGGUGUCUUCAGUUGUUGCUGAGCUUCACACAAACCUGUUGUCUGUCAUAGAAAAUGGCAAUUACAAGCCUUUGAAAUAUCCAAAACAUGGGGAUACAUGGAUAAGAAGACUCAGCAAAUAUAUCACUGACUCGACAUUACACGCAAAAGAUUUCAUCCUUGACUGCUUAAGCCAUGGGCUAUCUGGAUAUAAAAAUUUGAGCCCUUCUCAUAAGCUGGAUGUGCUGAAUUCUCUGUGUGACGAGGCAUUAUCAUCUGAAAAGUUGAGGACUAGGAUUGAAGCUAGAGAGGGUGUGGUCAGACAAAAGAUCCGUGCUGCAACCGAGAAGGAAAAGGAGCUAAAAGAAAGACAGAAUGACAUGGCUAAAACAAUGGGAGGAGAAAUCACUGGCAAUGAAGAAGCUAAUAAUAUCUUUUGUCAAAUAAAAGAGGCAAAAGAAGUCAAGCAGGCAGCCAUGAAGGAAUUAGAGGAACUGGGAUGUGUCCUUAGGUCCACGCCUGUCAUGGUAGACAAAGGAGUAGCAUACUGGAAGCUGGAUGGCUAUUGUAAUAACAAUACAAACAUAUUGCGCCAAGAAUUUGACAAAGAAGCUACAAUGAAGAACCAAGACAAGUGGUUCAUGUUCAGUGAAGAUGAACAGAAAGUAGUUGAAAAUCAUGUAACUACAAGGUCCCAGCGCCCAUGGAGAAAUGAUAACCGGGUGUGA